This 467-nucleotide ribosomal RNA is filed under the name uncultured bacterium. RNAcentral's name for it is "partial 16S ribosomal RNA". It matches the Rfam family "Bacterial small subunit ribosomal RNA", at positions 29 to 507 of the family's 1533-position model. The record is from RNAcentral.
ACGAACGCUGGCGGCGUGCUUCACACAUGCAAGUCGAACGGAAAGGCCCUGCUUUUGUGGGGUGCUCGAGUGGCGAACGGGUGAGUAACACGUGAGUAACCUGCCCUUGACUUUGGGAUAACUUCAGGAAACUGGGGCUAAUACCGGAUAGGAGCUCCUGCUGCAUGGUGGGGGUUGGAAAGUUUCGGCGGUUGGGGAUGGACUCGCGGCUUAUCAGCUUGUUGGUGGGGUAGUGGCUUACCAAGGCUUUGACGGGUAGCCGGCCUGAGAGGGUGACCGGCCACAUUGGGACUGAGAUACGGCCCAGACUCCUACGGGAGGCAGCAGUGGGGAAUAUUGCACAAUGGGCGGAAGCCUGAUGCAGCAACGCCGCGUGCGGGAUGACGGCCGUCGGGUUGUAAACCGCUUUCGCCUGUGACGAAGCGUGAGUGACGGUAAUGGGUAAAGAAGCACCGGCUAACUACGUG